This 72-nucleotide transfer RNA is filed under the name Candidatus Falkowiibacteriota bacterium. RNAcentral describes it as "tRNA-Phe". It matches the Rfam family "tRNA". From Rfam's summary of the family: Transfer RNA (tRNA) molecules are approximately 80 nucleotides in length. Their secondary structure includes four short double-helical elements and three loops (D, anti-codon, and T loops). Lineage: Bacteria; Candidatus Falkowiibacteriota. The record is from RNAcentral.
GCCUGAGUAGCUCAGUGGUAGAGCAAUGGACUGAAAAUCCAUGUGUCGGCAGUUCGAUCCUGCCCUCAGGCA